CCAGACUCCUACGGGAGGCAGCAGUGGGGAAUAUUGCACAAUGGGGGAAACCCUGAUGCAGCGACGCCGCGUGAGUGAAGAAGUAUUUCGGUACGUAAAGCUCUAUCAGCAGGGAAGAAAAACCGGCCUUAGGGCCGCCAGACGGUACCUGACUAAGAAGCCCCGGCUAAUUACGUGCCAGCAGCCGCGGUAAUACGUAGGGGGCAAGCGUUAUCCGGAUUUACUGGGUGUAAAGGGAGCGUAGACGGCAGCGCAAGUCUGGAGUGAAAUGCCGGGGCCCAACCCCGGAACUGCUUUGGAAACUGUGCAGCUCGAGUGCAGGAGAGGUAAGCGGAAUUCCUAGUGUAGCGGUGAAAUGCGUAGAUAUUCGGAGGAACACCGGUGGCGAAGGCGGCCAACUGGGCUUUAACUGACGCUGAGGCUCGAAAGUGUGGGGAGCAAACAGGAUUAGAUACCCUGGUAG
Molecule: ribosomal RNA, 463 nt
Filed under: uncultured bacterium
Lineage: Bacteria
Description: bacterial SSU rRNA
Rfam family: Bacterial small subunit ribosomal RNA
Source: RNAcentral